Molecule: long non-coding RNA, 863 nt
Filed under: Rattus norvegicus (Norway rat)
Lineage: Eukaryota; Metazoa; Chordata; Mammalia; Rodentia; Muridae
Description: long non-coding RNA NONRATT005379
Source: RNAcentral
CCUAGGAUCCGAAGGCCUUUACCACAACUUUUACUUCCAGGACCACCACCAGGCUGAUCUCUUGGUCCUCACCUAGGCCCACCUCCAGGUCUGCCCUGUGGGUCCCCUCCUCGAGGACCUCAACAAAGCUACCUCCUCCUGCACCUCCAGGUAUCCCUCCUUGUCAUCCUACAAUGAUGGACACAGCCUUGAUGCCUCCCCUUAGACUUGGCCCACAUGGCUCUUUCCCACAAGCUCCCUUGCCCAGUCUAGGAGUGAUGAGUGCCCCACUCAGCCUCAUUCAAUGGCCAAAGGCAGAUGAUUCAAGUGCAGCCACCAUCCAUAGAGAAGAAAGCUACAGAGACCACCAGUGACAAGGCCCAGAUCACCAAUCCCAAAGCAGAGGUCACACAGUUUGUGGCCGCUGCACUGAGGGUUCACCUCGAGAACAAGGAGGCUAUUACUUUUCCCCAAACAAGGUCAGAGGAUGACUCUGCUGUGCCUAUUGCUAAAGCAGCCCCCAGAUCUGGGCCUCCAAAGCAACCUCCAGAUCUGCCAGGCCGGCUUCCGGUCAGAAUACUGGUUUGUGGACAAAUAGGCUUUUGUUAAACUUAGAGUGAAGAACAAUGUCCACUGUCAGGUAAUUUCCAAGUCCAGUUCCAGGAGCCUCCUAUGUUUGCCUCCUGGAAUCCCACCACACAAGGUGCUUCUUUAUAAUAAACCAGGAUGUGAAGCACUGCCUCUAACCCCUGUUCCCUUGGACACCACCAUCUCCUUCCUCUCUUCCCCUCUCCAUUUUGGGAGUUCUGUCAGGGAGGUCUUAGUUACUUGUUUUGACUCACGUGCCAUAGCACUAGAGUAGAGAAUUUUGGAAUAAAAAGGUU